This 253-nucleotide ribosomal RNA is filed under the name uncultured bacterium. Its description in RNAcentral is "partial 16S ribosomal RNA". It matches the Rfam family "Bacterial small subunit ribosomal RNA", at positions 524 to 776 of the family's 1533-position model. The record is from RNAcentral.
UACGUAGGGUGCGAGCGUUGUCCGGAAUUACUGGGCGUAAAGAGCUCGUAGGUGGUUUGUCGCGUUGUCCGUGAAAACUCACAACUCAAUUGUGGGCGUGCGGGCGAUACGGGCAGACUGGAGUACUGCAGGGGAGACUGGAAUUCCUGGUGUAGCGGUGGAAUGCGCAGAUAUCAGGAGGAACACCGGUGGCGAAGGCAGCUCUCUGGGACGGUACUGACGCUGAGACGCGAAAGCGUGGGGAGCGAACAGG